GUGAAAGUAGAACCAAGACUAAGAGGACUUGAUCAUGGAAUCUAAAUCCUAAGAUGUAAGAAAGCUGAUUAGAGAAAUCAUCUACAUCUAUCUGUUUAAUUUUGUUUGUAGCCAGACCAGAAUGGGUUUUCUUUAGAACCAAAUUUUCAGUCAUUACGAGUGCCAAAUUCAGGAUGAUUGGCACCUUUCAACGUACAGAUUCCCUCACCCCAAGUGAAAAUACCAUGGAACUAUCGACGGAAGUCAUGUGGAUAUUGCUAGCGCCUCGUUAAGAUAUAAACCGUUUUAAACUGUCUUAUGAGAAUUACGCGAUGGAAUACAGUAGGGAACUGCAUGUUGGGAAAAAAUGUUAAAAAAAUGAAAGGAAUUGUUAGGGAAACAUUUUAUGGUUAAUGACUUUUGAAAUCCUCCAAAAAUGUAAAAGAGUGCUCGCCGGAUUUCUGCACGACGCUUAUGGGGGUAAAAUAAAUGCUGUGGUUAAUACUUGUCUUCUCCUAUUUAGCUUGACUUUGACCUUUCGUUAGCAAAAGCCAUAAGAAUUUCUCUUUUAAAAAAUGCAUUUCCGAGGCCACAACCGGCUUAGGUUAGAAAACGGUAAAGCAGAUAGUAUAUUCUUACACAGCGGGAAUCAUCUAACUUGAGUUGCUAUCAACAUAAUACAUCUAAACAUAGUUCGUUUGGGCUUGAAUUUCUAAUCUGGAAAAUCAAGUUUGUACAUGUAGUUUGAGAGAAGUAAUGAGUUUGUUCACGUGCAAAAUACGUGCUUCAUAAACCUGAGAGAUCUUGAGAAAUCG
This is a long non-coding RNA of Pocillopora verrucosa, 794 nucleotides long. RefSeq lists it as uncharacterized. The record is from RefSeq and is a predicted model, not a curated record. NCBI's taxonomy places the organism in Eukaryota, Metazoa, Cnidaria, Anthozoa, Scleractinia, Pocilloporidae.